RNAcentral lists this ribosomal RNA (475 nucleotides) under Streptococcus mitis. RNAcentral describes it as "bacterial SSU rRNA". It matches the Rfam family "Bacterial small subunit ribosomal RNA", at positions 28 to 488 of the family's 1533-position model. Lineage: Bacteria; Bacillati; Bacillota; Bacilli; Lactobacillales; Streptococcaceae. The record is from RNAcentral.
GACGAACGCUGGCGCCGUGCCUAAUACAUGCAAGUAGAACGCUGAAGGAGGAGCUUGCUUCUCUGGAUGAGUUGCGAACGGGUGAGUAACGCGUAGGUAACCUGCCUGGUAGCGGGGGAUAACUAUUGGAAACGAUAGCUAAUACCGCAUAACAGUAGAUGUUGCAUGACAUUUGCUUAAAAGGUGCAAUUGCAUCACUACCAGAUGGACCUGCGUUGUAUUAGCUAGUUGGUGGGGUAACGGCUCACCAAGGCGACGAUACAUAGCCGACCUGAGAGGGUGAUCGGCCACACUGGGACUGAGACACGGCCCAGACUCCUACGGGAGGCAGCAGUAGGGAAUCUUCGGCAAUGGACGGAAGUCUGACCGAGCAACGCCGCGUGAGUGAAGAAGGUUUUCGGAUCGUAAAGCUCUGUUGUAAGAGAAGAACGGGUGUGAGAGUGGAAAGUUCACACUGUGACGGUAUCUACCAGAA